AGUGAACGCUGGCGGUAGGCCUAACACAUGCAAGUCGAACGGCAGCACAGGAGAGCUUGCUCUCUGGGUGGCGAGUGGCGGACGGGUGAGGAAUACAUCGGAAUCUACUUUUUCGUGGGGGAUAACGUAGGGAAACUUACGCUAAUACCGCAUACGACCUACGGGUGAAAGCAGGGGAUCUUCGGACCUUGCGCGAUUGAAUGAGCCGACGUCGGAUUAGCUAGUUGGCGGGGUAAAGGCCCACCAAGGCGACGAUCCGUAGCUGGUCUGAGAGGAUGACCAGCCACACUGGAACUGAGACACGGUCCAGACCCCUACGGGAGGCAGCAGUGGGGAAUAUUGGACAAUGGGCGCAAGCCUGAGCCAGCCAUACCGCGUGGGUGAAGAAGGCCUUCGGGUUGUAAGGCCCUUUUGUUGGGAAAGAAAUCCAGCUGGCUAAUACCCGGGUGGGAUGACGGUACCCAAAGAAUAAGCACCGGCUAACUUCGUGCCAGCCGCCGCGGUAA
Molecule: ribosomal RNA, 506 nt
Filed under: uncultured bacterium
Lineage: Bacteria
Description: partial 16S ribosomal RNA
Rfam family: Bacterial small subunit ribosomal RNA
Source: RNAcentral